GUUCGAUUCCGGUGAAGGAGCUUGAGAAUUGGCUACUACAUCUAAGGUAGGCAGCAGGCGCGCAAAUUACCCAAUCCCGAUUCGGGGAGGUAGUGACAAAAAAUAACAAUACCGGGCCUUUUUGGGCUUGGUAAUUGGAAUGAGGGAGAGUUAAACGGACCAUCGAGUAUCCAUUGGAGGGCAAGUCUGGUGCCAGCAGCUGCGGUAAUACCAGCUCCAAUAGCGUAUAUUAAAGUUGUUGCAGUUAAAAAGCUCGUAGUUGGACUUGUGUGCGCUGUCCGCGGGUGGCCUGCGCCCAAAAGGGCGUUUCGGUUCGGCCCCGGUGGCGCCUUGAAAUCUGCAGCUGGGGGGACGUUGGCCUUAACUGGUCGGCGACCGCACGCCGGCUGCUCGGUUACUGUGAGAAAAUUAGAGUGUUCAAGGCAGGCAUUGGGUGCAAUUGAAUACAUUAGCAUGGAAUAAUAAAAUAUGGCUCCUGCCGUAUUUUGUUGGUUUUGACUGGUGGGAGUAAUGAUUGAUAGGGACGGUUGGGGGUGCUAGUAUUGAGCGGCCAGAGGUGAAAUUCAUGGAUUCGCUCAAGACUAACUUAUGCGAAAGCAUUCACCAAGGACGUCCUCUUUAAUCAAGAACGAAAGUUGGGGGAUCGAAGACGAUCAGAUACCGUCGUAGUCUCAACCAUAAACUAUGUCGACUUGGGAUCGGCGGUAGUUUUUUCAUUAAGACACUGUCGGGACCACGGGAGAAAUCAAAGUGUCUGGACUCUGGGGGAAGUAUGGUCGCAAGGCUGAAACUUGAAGGAAUUGACGGAAGGGCACCACCAGGAGUGGAGCCUGCGGCUUAAUUUGACCCAACACGGGGAAACUUACCAGGUCCAGAGAUAUAGAGGAUUGACAGAUUGAAGCUCUUUCUUGAUCACUUCGGUGGUGGUGCAUGGCCGUUCUUAGUUGGUGGAGUGAUUUGUCUGGUUAAUUCCGUUAACGAACGAGACCUAAGCCUGCUAGUGUAGUCGGCUGGAUUGCCUUUGGCGAUCCGUGAUUUCGACUUCUUAGAGGGACAAUCGACGCGCAGUCGAUGGAAGUUUGAGGCAAUAACAGGUCUGUGAUGCCCUUAGAUGUUCUGGGCCGCACGCGCGCUACACUGCUGGGCUCAGCGAGUUUUACUUGGCCGAGAGGCCCGGUUAAUCUUGUGAAAUCCCAGCGUGCUUGGGCUCGCCUCCUGCAACUGGAGGCGCCAACGAGGAAUUCCUAGUAGACGCAGGUCAUCAACCUGCAUCGAUUACGUCCCUGCCCUUUGUACACACCGCCCGUCGUUCCAUAAGAGUGAGGCAUCCGGUGAAUUCUCGGGAGAGCCUGGGCGUGGCCAGCAAUGGUCUGCUCGGGUUUGAACUUGCAUAGACUUGGUGCCUAUGAUUAGGGAAAAGUCGUAACAAGGUU
This 1433-nucleotide ribosomal RNA is filed under the name metagenome. Its description in RNAcentral is "SSU rRNA". It matches the Rfam family "Eukaryotic small subunit ribosomal RNA", at positions 375 to 1801 of the family's 1831-position model. The record is from RNAcentral.